RNAcentral lists this long non-coding RNA (508 nucleotides) under Anser cygnoides (Swan goose). RNAcentral's name for it is "lncRNA (ENSACDG00005000262.1)". The record is from RNAcentral. Lineage: Eukaryota; Metazoa; Chordata; Aves; Anseriformes; Anatidae.
GAGAAUACAGACCUACUUCAGGGAGAAGGCAGCUGCUCGGGUCGGUUCUGUUGUGCAGCUCUGGAGAGGAGAAGAUAUUUCUCACGCUGAGCUACAGGAAGUUGAUGCUGAAAUGCAAUAACAGCAGAUGUUACUGGGAUGCAGUCAUAAGACGGAGGCAAACGGGCUCUUUGUGACCAUCUCAGGCCACAGCACCGGCAUAUUUCCAGAUGGUGCAGAUGCUAUUUAUAAAGCAUUGCGCAGGGGAUCUGUUACGGGGUGCUUUACAGCCACACUUUGCAGAAGGACACGUCUGCUGUCUCAUCCAUUGAGAAAGACUCUCCCAGAGCAAAAGAGCCACAGGUCAGUGCUGCUGCUCUCAGGGGCAUGCGGUAAGAUAUCCUGUGACUGUAGCGAGGACAAAGGGAGUUGUAAAGAGCAGUUGGGAGAAAAAGCCUCCCUGAUCUGCCCAGUGUCCUGCUUCUCUCUUCGGGAUGGAAUGACAAGUUUCUGUUUGGAUUUUCUCUAG